UGCUCAGCUUGGCCAUGUGGUCCCUAGUGUGGUCACUGCCUGGAGCCCCAGACUGGAACAGUCCGGUUAGCCUGGUUUAGCUCGGGUCAGAUUUUGGAGGAGUCUCUGAGCCCAGACUUAUGUUCAGAGGCUUUCUGGUGAACCUCCCCAUCAGGAAGUAGGGUCCCGGGUCCCUUGCUGGGAGACUCAGGCGGCGUGGAGAGGAGGAGAGUCAGCCUGGAGCCUCUUCCUUCCCACCUGGGGUGGCUGGCCUUGCUGGAGGCCCGGCUCCGGGAACUGUGUCAUCUGAAUCAAGGUGACCCCUAGUGACCUUCCUGUCUUCUGAGCUGCAUAGACACAGAGCACAUGCUUCCUCUUCCACAGAACAAGGGUCACCAGCAGAAGUGGGCACAGCGCUGACGAGACCGGGGUCAGGAUCCCAGAGAAGUUCUUCUCUUCCAGAGGAGCGCUGCAGAGAAGCCGCAGGAGUGGGCGCCAGAAACGCACGAGAGAGCGGGGCCUGGAGCGCCCCGGGAGCCGAGGCCCUGGGGCCUCACCCCUCAUUUUACAGAGGCCACAUGGAGGCCUGGGCCAGUCGGCCGCCCUUGUUCCACAGCUGGUGGGUUAGUCACUGACCUGGGACGCGGUCCCCUGCCUCCCGGGUCCCAAGUCCUCAGUCCUGUCCCUCCCUGACCACCUGUGUGGGGUCCCUGCCAACGGGCUGCAGGGGCCAAGAGAACUGAGUCAGGCUCAGGGAAUCCACGCUAGGCAUUUGGCUCUGCCGCAAAGUCUCUCUUUGUGGCUUCGGUGAGUCACCCCGCCACCCCACCUCGCCACCCGCUGGAGCUUUCUUUCCUUAUCUGUAAGAAACAAGAAGUCCCAACAGUCCCACCUAAAUUUUCUAAAUAUUCUGUUGCUUAGAUGUUUGCUCAGUCUCGUGAAGAUGCUCAGAUGGCGUUCUCCCAGCGAGGACCCUUGGAAGGAAGCAGGAUUCUGACCCCCGUGACCCUUGCCCUUGACUGGCCUGAGGCUACAAGGGGGAGGAGGAGAGUGAGCAGACGCGGGGCACGUGAAGGUACCAUCUCUACGUGGGUUGGCUCUGAGGUCCACACAGCCACAGCCGGGAUGGUCCCUUCAAUGGAGCCCAGGCUCUGUGGCUCAGAAGCCGAUGUCUCCUCCUGGAGGGUUUCCCACAUCCAUCUUUCUGAGGCCAGG
This is a long non-coding RNA of Cervus elaphus (red deer), 1194 nucleotides long. RefSeq lists it as uncharacterized. The record is from RefSeq and is a predicted model, not a curated record. The transcript is spliced from 4 exons. Lineage: Eukaryota; Metazoa; Chordata; Mammalia; Artiodactyla; Cervidae.